RNAcentral lists this ribosomal RNA (442 nucleotides) under uncultured bacterium. Its description in RNAcentral is "partial 16S ribosomal RNA". It matches the Rfam family "Bacterial small subunit ribosomal RNA", at positions 338 to 795 of the family's 1533-position model. The record is from RNAcentral.
CCUACGGGUGGCAGCAGUGGGGAAUAUUGCACAAUGGGCGAAAGCCUGAUGCAGCAACGCCGCGUGAAGGAAGAAGGGUUUCGGCUCGUAAACUUCUAUCAACAGGGACGAAAGAAAUUACGGUACCUGAAUAAGAAGCCCCGGCUAACUUCGCGCCAGCAGCCGCGGUAAUCGGAGGGGGCAAGCGUUAAUCGGAAGUAAGGGGUGUAAAGGGUGAGUAGGAGGGCUGGUAAGCCCGAUGGGAAAGCCUUGGGCGUAACCCGAGGAUUGCAUUUGAAACUAUCAAGCUAGAGUACAGGAGAGGAAAGCGGAAUUCCUAGUGUAGCGGUGAAAUGCGUAGAUAUUAGGAAGAACACCAGUGGCGAAGGCGGCUUUCUGGACUGAAACUGACGCUGAGGCACGAAAGCGUGGGGAGCGAACAGGAUUAGAUACCCCAGUAGUC